This 292-nucleotide ribosomal RNA is filed under the name uncultured bacterium. RNAcentral describes it as "partial 16S ribosomal RNA". It matches the Rfam family "Bacterial small subunit ribosomal RNA", at positions 505 to 796 of the family's 1533-position model. The record is from RNAcentral.
GUGUCAGCAGCCGCGGUAAUACGAACUGUGCAAACGUUAUUCGGAAUCACUGGGCUUAAAGGGUGCGUAGGCGGUCAUUUAGGUAGGGUGUGAAAGCCCCCGGCUCAACCGGGGAAUUGCGCCCUAAACCGGGUGACUGGAGUGAGAUAGGGGUGUGUGGAACUUCCGGUGGAGCGGUGAAAUGUGUUGAUAUCGGAAGGAACGCCGGUGGCGAAAGCGACACACUGGGUCUCAACUGACGCUGAGGCACGAAAGCCAGGGGAGCAAACGGGAUUAGAAACCCCCGUAGUCC